AUGACUGUGGGGAGUGUGUGUGGGAAUGACAACCUACGAGGAGGCAACCUGAAGAGCAGACACCCGGGAAGUAAAACAACAAAGUUUCCUGUGUAUACGAUGGGCUUUACUAUCUCAGCAUUAUAGAGACGUAACUGCUAAAAUGAAGUCUGGCAUUGUUUUUCUCAUGGCUGAGUGAGUGGCAGACCCUGGGGAGAAUGUAUUAGAGUUCUCAUCUUGUAACUUAACUUCUCCUUUUGUUGUUCUGCAUAAUUGCUGUCACCCAGGUAAAGCUGGAUUGUUUCUUCCAUGGUAAAUUCUCUCCCACACAACCCUUUGACCUUCAGGCAGUGAGAGCAGCAGGGUUUCUCAUCUCAUGAUUUAACUGAAGAAAAUAACUACUUGAAGAGGAAGUGCUUUGAAAUAAACAAUGUCUCUGAAUUAGAAAACUAAACA
Molecule: long non-coding RNA, 435 nt
Filed under: Calidris pygmaea (Spoon-billed sandpiper)
Lineage: Eukaryota; Metazoa; Chordata; Aves; Charadriiformes; Scolopacidae
Description: lncRNA (ENSCPGG00000005799.1)
Source: RNAcentral